AGGGCGCACGGUGGAUGCCUUGGCACUAGGAGCCGAUGAAGGACGGGACUAACACCGAUAUGCUUCGGGGAGCUGUAAGUAAGCUUUGAUCCGGAGAUUUCCGAAUGGGGGAACCCAGCAUCUUUUAUAGGAUGUUACUUUUCAGUGAAUACAUAGCUGAUUAGAGGUAGACGCAGAGAACUGAAACAUCUAAGUACCUGCAGGAAGAGAAAGAAAAAUCGAUUCCCUGAGUAGCGGCGAGCGAAACGGGAAAAGCCCAAACCAAGAGGCUUGCCUCUUGGGGUUGUAGGACUCCGAUACGGUAGUCCAGUGAGAUAGUCGAAGGACCUGGAAAGGUCUGCUAGAAAGGGUAAAAGCCCCGUAGACAAAAUUUGACUGGCACCUAGGAGGAUCCUGAGUACGGCGGAACACGAGGAAUUCCGUCGGAAUCCGGGAGGACCAUCUCCCAAGGCUAAAUACUCCCUAGUGACCGAUAGUGAACCAGUACCGUGAGGGAAAGGUGAAAAGCACCCCGGAAGGGGAGUGAAAUAGAUCCUGAAACCGUGUGCCUACAACAAGUUAGAGCCCGUUAAUGGGUGAUAGCGUGCCUUUUGUAGAAUGAACCGGCGAGUUACGAUUACUUGCGAGGUUAAGUUGAAAAGACGGAGCCGCAGCGAAAGCGAGUCUGAAUAGGGCGAAUGAGUAAGUGGUCGUAGACCCGAAACCAUGUGAUCUACCCAUGUCCAGGUUGAAGGUGCGGUAAAACGCACUGGAGGACCGAACCCACGUACGUUGAAAAGUGCGGGGAUGAGGUGUGGGUAGCGGAGAAAUUCCAAACGAACUUGGAGAUAGCUGGUUCUCUCCGAAAUAGCUUUAGGGCUAGCCUCAGAGUAAGAAUGAUGGAGGUAGAGCACUGUUUGGACUAGGGGCCCAUCUCGGGUUACCGAAUUCAGAUAAACUCCGAAUGCCAUCCAUUCAUCUCUGGGAGUCAGACUGUGAGUGAUAAGAUCCAUAGUCGAAAGGGAAACAGCCCAGACCACCAGCUAAGGUCCCCAAAUAACUAUUAAGUGGAAAAGGAUGUGGGGUUGCACAGACAACUAGGAUGUUGGCUUAGAAGCAGCCACCAUUUAAAGAGUGCGUAAUAGCUCACUAGUCGAGUGACCCUGCGCCGAAAAUGUACCGGGGCUAAAUAGUUUACCGAAGCUGUGGAACACACCAAUAGGUGUGUUGGUAGGAGAGCGUUCUAAGGGCGUUGAAGGCAGAUCGUGAGGACUGCUGGAGCGCUUAGAAGUGAGAAUGCCGGUAUGAGUAGCGAAAGACAGGUGAGAAUCCUGUCCACCGAAUGACUAAGGUUUCCUGGGGAAGGCUCGUCCGCCCAGGGUUAGUCGGGACCUAAGCCGAGGCCGACAGGCGUAGGCGAUGGACAACAGGUUGAUAUUCCUGUACUCGUUGUUUUUGUUUGAGCAAUGGAGGGACGCAGGAGGCUAAGGAAUCAGACGAUUGGAAAUGUCUGUCCAAGCAAUAAGUCUUGAUGUGAGUCAAAUGCUUACGUCUUUAAGGACAAGUUGUGAUGGGGAGGGAAAUAAUAGUACCGAAGUUCCUGAUGUCACACUGCCGAGAAAAGCUUCUAGUGAGAAAACAAUGGCCCGUACCGCAAACCGACACAGGUAGUCGAGGAGAGAAUCCUAAGGUGAGCGAGAGAACUCUCGUUAAGGAACUCGGCAAAAUGACCCCGUAACUUCGGGAGAAGGGGUGCUGAUCUAACGAUCAGCCGCAGUGAAUAGGCCCAAGCGACUGUUUAUCAAAAACACAGGUCUCUGCAAAAUCGAAAGAUGACGUAUAGGGGCUGACGCCUGCCCGGUGCUGGAAGGUUAAGAGGAGUGCUUAGCGUAAGCGAAGGUACGAAUUGAAGCCCCAGUAAACGGCGGCCGUAACUAUAACGGUCCUAAGGUAGCGAAAUUCCUUGUCGGGUAAGUUCCGACCCGCACGAAAGGCGUAACGAUUUGGGCACUGUCUCAACGAGAGACUCGGUGAAAUUUUAGUACCUGUGAAGAUGCAGGUUACCCGCGACAGGACGGAAAGACCCCAUGGAGCUUUACUGCAGUUUGAUAUUGAGUGUUUGUACCACAUGUACAGGAUAGGUAGGAGCCGUAGAAGUCGGGACGCUAGUUUCGACAGAGGCGCUGGUGGGAUACUACCCUUGUGUUAUGACCACUCUAACCCGCACCACUGAUCGUGGUGGGAGACAGUGUCAGAUGGGCAGUUUGACUGGGGCGGUCGCCUCCUAAAGAGUAACGGAGGCGCCCAAAGGUUCCCUCAGAAUGGUUGGAAAUCAUUCGCAGAGUGUAAAGGCACAAGGGAGCUUGACUGCGAGACCUACAAGUCGAGCAGGGACGAAAGUCGGGCUUAGUGAUCCGGUGGUUCCGCAUGGAAGGGCCAUCGCUCAACGGAUAAAAGCUACCCUGGGGAUAACAGGCUUAUCUCCCCCAAGAGUCCACAUCGACGGGGAGGUUUGGCACCUCGAUGUCGGCUCGUCGCAUCCUGGGGCUGUAGUCGGUCCCAAGGGUUGGGCUGUUCGCCCAUUAAAGCGGCACGCGAGCUGGGUUCAGAACGUCGUGAGACAGUUCGGUCCCUAUCCGUCGCGGGCGUUGGAAAUUUGAGAGGAUCUGUCCUUAGUACGAGAGGACCGGGAUGGACUUACCGCUGGUGUACCAGUUGUCUCGCCAGAGGCAUCGCUGGGUAGCUAUGUAGGGAAGGGAUAAACGCUGAAAGCAUCUAAGUGUGAAGCCCACCUCAAGAUGAGAUUUCCCAUUUCU
Molecule: ribosomal RNA, 2795 nt
Filed under: human gut metagenome
Description: bacterial LSU rRNA
Rfam family: Bacterial large subunit ribosomal RNA
Source: RNAcentral